Molecule: long non-coding RNA, 815 nt
Filed under: Zalophus californianus (California sea lion)
Lineage: Eukaryota; Metazoa; Chordata; Mammalia; Carnivora; Otariidae
Description: lncRNA (ENSZCAG00015009411.1)
Source: RNAcentral
GCGGAGAGAGAAGGGACGGCGGGGCAGCGGAGCGGCUACCGAGAGCCAGAAAAGGGGAAGACUCAGGCAAGCGCUCACAGGCCUGCCAGACCCCCGGACCCGCAGACAGAUGACUUCAUCUAUGCUCGCACCCCGGAGCCCUCGGGCUGUCUUCCAAGACAGGUGCACACGCAGGGAAUAAGGGGUGGUCACUCCCGGAGGCGGGGCCCCUAAGGCCGGCAGCGCUGUUGGGAGUGUCCCCUGCCCCGGGCUUCCGGUUAGCCCGCGAAGGGUCCAGAGUCUGCAGGGGUGGCCAGGUGGGCGACGUGGCGCCCCUACACGGAGCCCUGAAGCCCUUGGCCGCGAAGUCUGACCACAGCCACUCGUGGGAGUCUGGUGGGAGUCUGGUGGGAGACUUGGAGCCAUAAGGCAGGAAGGCCAAGAGGCGGAGGAGUGAUGGAAAGGAACUCAGAGACUAUCAAGUUCCAUGCUCUCAUUUUCCAGAAGAAAGUCCAACCUGAAAGCCAAAGACACAAGUGAGGUUCUCAACAUCACAUGGAUAUCGGAGAAAGAUGACUCUGGCAGCAGUUGCCCAGGAUGGCCUUGAGAGGGACGCUGGAGGCAGGAGGUCUGGUCAGAGGUGUCGGCGGUAUGCCUGGCUGGAGGCCGUCACUAAUUCCUUUUGGAUGCUGGAAAGCUGUAGAUGACAACCAAGUAAAAACAGUCCAAAAAAACCGAUUCCGUUUAUGCUAGCAGAGGCCCCAAGCCCUGAAAAGAGGAUGGAUGGUCUGCCUUCUCUGAGUAUAAUUCAAAAUAAAACAACACUGAAGGUUCAC